Molecule: ribosomal RNA, 347 nt
Filed under: uncultured eukaryote
Lineage: Eukaryota
Description: partial 18S ribosomal RNA
Rfam family: Eukaryotic small subunit ribosomal RNA
Source: RNAcentral
CAGUAGCGUAUAUUAAAGUUGUUGCAGUUAAAAAGCUCGUAGUUGGACGUCUCUUCCUUGUAAGACUUCUCGUCUUCAGGGAAGAUCUGCCUAGCAGCUUCAUUCGGCGUUUACUCGUCGAUGAGGAUAUGCGGGCAUUUUACCUUGAGGAAACUAGAGUGUUUAAGGCAGGCUUCUGCCUGGAUACCACAGCUGGGAAUAAUGCGCUCGGAAUGUCUUGGCGAGAUGUUUCGAAUUCAUUAAUAGGGACAGUUGGGGGCAUUCGUACUCAGCAGUCAGAGGUGAAAUUCUUGGAUUUGCUGAAGACGGACUAGUGCGAAAGCAUUUGCCAAGGAUGUUUUCAUUAA